GACGAACGCUGGCGGCGUGCUUAACACAUGCAAGUCGAACGGAAAGGCCCUGCUUUUGUGGGGUGCUCGAGUGGCGAACGGGUGAGUAACACGUGAGUAACCUGCCCUUGACUUUGGGAUAACUUCAGGAAACUGGGGCUAAUACCGGAUAGGAGCUCCUGCUGCAUGGUGGGGGUUGGAAAGUUUCGGCGGUUGGGGAUGGACUCGCGGCUUAUCAGCUUGUUUGUGGGGUAGUGGCUUACCAAGGCUUUGACGGGUAGCCGGCCUGAGAGGGUUGCCGGCCACAUUGGGACUGAGAUACGGCCCAGACUCCUACGGGAGGCAGCAGUGGGGAAUGUUGCGCAAUGGGCGGAAGCCUGAUGCAGCAACGCCGCGUGCGGGAUGACGGCCUUCGGGUUGUAAACCGCUUUCGCCUGUGACGAAACGUGAGUGACGGUAAUGGGUAAAGAAGCACCAGCUAACUACGUG
This 468-nucleotide ribosomal RNA is filed under the name uncultured bacterium. RNAcentral's name for it is "partial 16S ribosomal RNA". It matches the Rfam family "Bacterial small subunit ribosomal RNA", at positions 28 to 507 of the family's 1533-position model. The record is from RNAcentral.